UUCUGGUUUUUAUUUCCUUUUUUUACUUGAAAUACCUGAAAUGGUAUUUCCGCCAUGAGAAUGACGUCAUGUGUUGAAUUCUUCUUGCAUCGCAGAAAUUAUUUUUGAUCUAGUUGCAUUUUUGAUUCCAAAGAAAAAUGUUCAAAGCAAGUGCUGCCAUGUUUUUCUCAACGAUUCUCGUCGCUGGGUGCAGUGCUAUACUUUCGGAUUUUGUGAAGGAUUUCAAUUUUAUCAACAUUAAAAAUGAAGUCGAAAGAUAUGAUUUUGAAUACACAUUGGACAAUGGUAAAACCUUUCAUGGAAAGGCGCACAAAUUGAACAUUCCAUAUUCGAACAUAUUUUUAAUGAUCGGCGACAAAGACGCCAUUUAUUGGGCUGACCUUGAGUUCGAUGAACUUAAAAUGGGAGAAUCAUUUCCAAUAGCUGCGCGAGCUGUUCAAAGAGACGACGAUAAAUUGAUCUUCAAAAACGAUUUCACUCAAUAUGAGAUUUCGCUUAAAACUGGUGAACUGAACCUCGCACCGUACAGAACGAGUUGGAAUAUAGACCAUAUCUGUUUUACAAAAGCGGAAAAGGAAACAUUAACGUUUCAUUAUGUUUUAUCUCAUGUUUUUAUUUUGUUUCAUAUUGUUAACCCGGUUGGUGAUUUCCUUGAGAUAGAAUAUCGUCGAAUAAUAACUCUAGGAAGUAUAACGGUACCACAGAGAAUGAAGCAGAUGAUGCGCAUGUGCAAAUCGUUAGAUUAACGGAAUAUAAUCAGUUCAAAGAUGUAUACAGAAUAAAUUUCACAGAUAGUGAACUCAAUUGCGAUGACACUUUUUGCAAAGGCAUUUCCGACACGAUUGAGUCCAGCUCUUAUGAUGGCUGGUUCAUAUUUCCUUUCAUGAGCCAAAUUGACCCAAACCUUCUGAAAUCAUUAACAGGAUAAAUCGUUUGUGUUCGACUGAAUUAGUAGCUGAAUCAAGUACUAAGCCAGCUAUAAGCUGAAGGUUUAUUUGCUCUACAGAGUUCUAUCUCAGCCUUUGUAGACUAUAGCCUAUUUUAUCUUUUCAUUGAAAAUAAAAUUAAGUUCAAUAAAUUAUUCAUUAUAAAAGAUUUUUUUGAUUGAUUCAAAAUCCAAACAACAAAGAAGAUGUAGAAAUAAAAUUUUGAAUAGAUCUAUAGGUGAGAUUGAGAGUAGCGUAUGUUUCGCUGAUGUUGUUAUAGAAGAGACGAGUAUGUUUCUUUCAACUUAAAAAUUGUUUAAAGCGAGUAUGUUUACUUUUGAUAGGUAGUCGUGGUUUUCCAUGGUUUUCGCAAAAUUGAUAAGAGAAAUAGGUUUGGUUUCUUCGGCAAAGUUGCAGUACUCGAGGUCUUCUAAGAGAAAACUUCUUUGCUGACGAAACCAAAUCUUUAUAUGAUCGCCUUUGCGAAAACGGUGAAAAACUUCGACAACCUGUGGCAUGCAAAUGAACUCUACUUCAACGCCAACAGAACCAUCAAAAAAACAUACUCGCCGCUUCAAAAAUGCAAAUCAAAGAGAAAACAUACUCUA
Molecule: RNA transcript, 1534 nt
Organism: Sitodiplosis mosellana (orange wheat blossom midge)
Lineage: Eukaryota; Metazoa; Arthropoda; Insecta; Diptera; Cecidomyiidae
Exons: 6
Source: RefSeq, a predicted model, not a curated record